RNAcentral lists this long non-coding RNA (237 nucleotides) under Homo sapiens (human). RNAcentral describes it as "HSALNT0336457". The record is from RNAcentral. Lineage: Eukaryota; Metazoa; Chordata; Mammalia; Primates; Hominidae.
UAUGAACCAAGGAUGCACCUCCAACAAAACAAUUCUUACAUGGAAUCCUAGAGUCUUUGGAACGUGGUUUGAACACCACCAGCUUUGAGAAGGAAGAGAAAAUCCAGAAGUCAGAAGUGGACCAUGUUGAUCAGGAUCCUACACCUUCCAGUUCACUGGUGAAUAACUUCAUAUUCCUGAAGUUAAGAAGCCUGCCCUGAUGCUCAUGCAGUUACUUUGAGCAAUGACCAAACAGAG